AAUUUGGAGGCUGUCGCUGGCUAGGUGAUUCUAGCAUGUGCACGUCUACACUUUUAAACACACUUGUGAACCCAUUGUAGAUCGAGUCCAUCGAAAAGUAGCAUCGAACUACCUAAUAGAGGGCUAAUUGGCUUAUCGAAAAGUAACCUAAUAGAGGCUUAUUGAAAAGUAGUGUGAACUACCUAAUAGAAAGCUUACCGAAAAGUACCUAAUAGAGAGCUAGUUGGCUUAUUGAAAAGUGGUGAGAAACUACCUAAUAGAGGGCUGAGUUGGCUCAUCGAAACGUAGUUAAUAGAGGGCUGGUUGGCUUAUCGAAAAGUAUGAGGCUUAUUGAAAAGUAGUGNGAACUACCUAAUAGAAAGCUUAGUACCUAAUAGAGAGCUAGUUGGCUUAUCGAAAAGACUACCUAAUAGAGGGACCCAGAAGAUCUAUGUUUAAUUUACACCACAUCGUAUGUCCAGAAAAUAUAAAUAAAUUACAACUUUCAGCAAUGGAUCUCUUGGUUCUCGCAUCGAUGAAGAACGCAGCGAAUCGCGAUAAGUAAUGUGAAUUGCAGAUUUUCAGUGAAUCAUCGAAUCUUUGAACGCACCUUGCGCCCCUUGGUAUUCCGAGGGGCAUGCCUGUUUGAGUGUCAUUUUAUCAUCAACUCAUUAGUCUUUGAUUAGGCUUUUGGGCUUGGACUUGGGAAUUGCUGGCUUGAUCUUUUUACCCAUUGAACAGUAUCUAAUACUUAAUAGAGGGAAAAAAGUGUAGUCGGCUGUCCUUAAAUGCAUUAGCGAGUGUUAGUCUACAUGGCACGGCCUCUUGACGUGAUAAUGAUCGUCGUGGGCUGGAAGUGUAGUGNCUGGCUUCUAAACCCGAUUGNGUGCAUACGGCCCAUAAAGCUGGAAGCGUAGUCAAAUGACAAACUGUUUGACCUCAAUC
Molecule: ribosomal RNA, 924 nt
Filed under: Leccinum piceinum
Lineage: Eukaryota; Fungi; Basidiomycota; Agaricomycetes; Boletales; Boletaceae
Description: eukaryotic LSU rRNA
Rfam family: 5.8S ribosomal RNA (bases 480-634)
Source: RNAcentral